This is a long non-coding RNA of Bombus terrestris (buff-tailed bumblebee), 5594 nucleotides long. RefSeq lists it as uncharacterized. The record is from RefSeq and is a predicted model, not a curated record. NCBI's taxonomy places the organism in Eukaryota, Metazoa, Arthropoda, Insecta, Hymenoptera, Apidae. The transcript has 2 exons.
UAGGCUUCGGUAUAUGAGUGUCGAGAUCUGUCUUAUAUGUUCGUAGUUCAGUCUUAUACUAGAGAGAAAAUGAGGAUCUUACGUCCAUUCUUCUAGUUGUUCCACGAUAUGCGCUGUACUAUGUGAUCAAGGUCCAAAGGAUUAAAGGCAUUACGGCCACGUGUGUCGCUGCCCGUCGCUGCCCGUCGCUGCCCGUCGCUGCCCGUCGCUGCCCGUCGCUGCCAGUCGCUGCAUUCUCCUUUCUCCUUCCUCCUUUCUCCCGUUCCGACGCAUGUUUCUCCGUCUCUGCCUCGUGGAGAUAUCGAUGCCGAAAGCACGAUUUCUUAUUCGCGCUGAUCUAUCUAUAUUUUGUAUACUUGCCGAAUGUCUUGUUCCAACGCGCUUGUUUAGGACCAUGGAAUCUGUUUUUUUGUUACUUCGGCCUGUUAAAGGGGAUUGAUUUGCGUAUUCUUGGUUGAUUCAUGUUUCUUAGACAAAUAUGCGGAUGUCGUCAUAAAAUACUUUCAUUCCGCAAACGUGGCUUUCGACAAAUUUUAUGCGGUGCUUACAUUAAUACGAAACUCGCUAUGAUAAAACAUAAAACGUCGUAUCUAGAAUCACGAUAAGAACAACGAAACCCGACGCUGACCUUAAACUUCAGGCGGCGCGGCGAAUGGAACUUGGAAAGAGGAUCAUCGUGACCAUUUUAUUCUUGAUUUUUGAGUAUUUUUAUUGAUUCGUUAGAUAAUAUGUCAAACCAGUCGUACAAGAUCAAGAGAUUUCAGAAUAAAAUUAUAUGAAAAUUCACGUUUCACAAUAAGAAUAUGUAAUAUUUAUCAAUUAUUUCCAUAGACACUGUUGUCUUCACAAAAUAAUCACUUUUAUGUAAAGGAUUAAUUAUCUUUAUCUCAGAUAUUUGAUCUAUAGAUAUACUUAUAAAACAUAUACAUAUUCGUUCUAAUUACGAACUUUCAAGUACUCAAGCGAUGCACGAUAAGUCUCCGAUAUUUCGUUUCUUUCUACUUGCAGACUUUCGCACAUGAUAUAAUUGACACAAACAGCGUUGAAAAUAUAAAUUUCAAACGUUAUUCGUGGCUUCUUGCUUUUCCAUAUAAUAACUAAUAACGUAAUUACUAGAAAAUAAAAUACGUAUAUGGGUGGUGGAUUGUACAAAAGUGCGUAGUAUUAUUCGACAGUGAUAUAGUCCAUACACUUUUUUACUUAAUUUAUGAAUUAUGUAACAAGCUUUACAUAUGGAAAACGACAUGCUAAUAUUGCUAUAUACUCUGUAGCUACCGCUAGACAAACGAAUAACUAUGUGUAAUUUUGUCGGUAUUUUUUUAAAAACUAUCUCUACACGGGACUGACAUUUCAAUAAAAGUCACACGUAAUCAACUGUAUUUCAAACUCUUUGCCUGAAAAAGACAAAUUGUUACUCGCACCAUUUAUCAGAAAGAAUUGGUUAAAAGACAAUUAGUUCUCCCAAGAAUUAUUUACAAAAUUUGAACAUCCAACAACAUACAUCAAUAGUAAUUUGUAAUCAUUAAGAUUAUAAACGAACUAACUACCAGUUUUCGUAAUUGUCAGUUAAACUUAAGCGUGAAAACAAAAAUAAUUAAAUUAAAAAAAAAAGUAACACUUAUUAAUCGUAAACGAACCGGCUAUGAAUGCUAAAUGCUGAAAAAUACUAAAUAAAAUAUAAAAUCAACUAUGAUUCCUGACAACUGUCAGCUAAACAUGAAAACAAAAACCAUUGCAUGUUUGAAACUAACGAAUUCCUUGUAUAAACGAACUAGUGAUCAACCUCACGUUUUUUAUUGUAAACUUUUUUGUUGCAAAAAUUUUCAAGCGGAUUAUUAUUCAAUUCUGAUAUUAAGGGGAGAGUCCAAUACCAACGUUACAUUUACGUUAUAUCAAAUAAAGUUUAAUAAAAGUAAUAGAAUUGGGAUAUAAUACGAACCAGGGGACUAAAUAUCAGACUGCCUGUGACAGGUGAUUGUCAACGAAUCCACAAUUUUAGCUAAUCAAAAAUGGCCACCUGUAAUAAUAAUAAAAAAGAGAGAGAUAUAAAGAUAGAGUACAUGGGUCAUAUGUUACCGCGUAAGUGAAAGCGACAUAGGGGCCCCUUCUGUCCUUGUCUAAUCAGCCAUGCACACUGACGCCGCUCGUUGAUCGGCGUUACAAUUCCAUAUUUACUGUACGGAUGUGCAUGCGUUAUUAGACAAGGACAGAAGGGACUUCUAUUAGCUAACGUUCGCUUUCGAUUCUUAUAUCGCUUUUUCAGCUCGCUCACGCACUCUAUCGUUACAUCUCUAUAAUUGCAAAACGUAAGAGGUGCAUUAACCUCGCUUGAUUAUUUUUUACUUAAUUCGCGUGAUUUCUCUUUUAAUACCAUAGAUAUCGUUGUUUUUUUCUUUUUUUGGAAAUAAUUUCACGGACAGGGGACUGAAAUGUAAAAGUGGUGACAAAGAUUGUAAAUGUUCUUUGUCGAUAGAAUAAAAUCGAUUAAGGUAAAAAUAAAUGCGAAUGAUAAAUAUGACUAUUGUAUAAUAUAUCUUUUUAGUUUUUUUAUCUGAAUUUAAUAGUUUUUAAUAGGUAGAAUCCAAAAAUGCAAUUGUUCAAGGAUUAUGCGUGUGGAAAACUGAGCAUUUUUAUCGUAUAUUACAGGUUAGUAUGACGUCAUAUUGCUUCUAUUCGUAAUUCGAUUGAUCCGCACAGAUGAGCAUUGAGCUACUAACUUCGCCGAAUAUUCACUUAUACAAGCGUAACCGGCAACCUUUGGCCAAAACUAAUUCAGUACUCAUGAUUCAAAAUCCCGUCGUAAAAUGGCCGACAUCCACGUGCAUUUGUUAGAGCCAGUGACUCUACUCAUUGAACGAAUCGUGGAUAAAAAUCAACAUGGUGUCAAAGUUGAAGCAGUCAACGCUGAAAUCGCUUAACUUUAUAUACUUGUAACUUUUGAACUACGGAAUUCCUAAAGUUAAAACUUACAUUUUUCGAUUCUACGUAUAGAAAACCAUUUUAAAUUGCAAUUAGGAAAGGUCACAAUUUUGUGUCCGUUAAACCGAAGUUCUGUCUAUACGUAAAAAGGAAAAAUUAGCGAAUACUUUCACAUUUACGCAUUGAAUAUGAGAGUGAUAGAUUAAAUUUUGUAAUUGUAACAUGCCAGGACACUGAGAAUUUCAUGUAAAAAUGGUAAUUUUUGGAUAUAAAUAAAUUAAAUUCAUAAUUCUUCAUAAUUUGUCCAUGAAGUCACAGUUAUUAUCUGUCUCUGGUAUGUAAAUAUAAUACGAUUUAAUGUUUUUAAAGCGUUAAAAAGUGAGAGAUUGGAAGAGAGAGAAAUGCCCACUUCUGUAGAAUCCCCAUAUACGUAUGUGUAUAAAACAAUAAUAGACAAUAAUUUUUAUGAUUGUUUUAUUAACGUUUACACUUUUUUUAAACGUGCCUUUUCUAAUUGACUAGACAGAGCAAGAGAGGGAGGGAGAGGAGGAGGGAGAGAGAGAGAGAGAGAGAGAGAGAGUACUAUAUUUUCAUAGAUUUCGAAGAACUAUUACAAUUAAUAGAUUUGUUCUUGUAACUUGUGAUAAUUUGUUUGUCUUGCUGGUAACAGUUAUAUCAUUAUAAAGCGAAGAGUUUAUUUUUCAUUACACUGUAUCUAAUGAAAUGUAAUCUUUGAAAACAAGUUUUAGCUAAAUACGUAUAUCUCGAUGGACUAAUUACACAAUCAUCGGUCGAUGGCAAUGUUCUUAGUAAUUCGCAGCAUUAUAAAACAAACACAGCCGUUAAAUAUCAAGAAUAUACUUACAGAGAUAAAACCGUUUUGGCCUAAAAAUAUGUCUCUAUACGGAUUAGGUAAUGUCAACUCUUUUUAUUCGAAUACUCAAAGUUCUAUAUGCGAUAACGAUGAAAACGCCAGUGUAAAUUUACAUGUUUGCGAGUUUUAUAAAAUUUAUGAAUCAAGUUCAGUCACCUCCGCAAUUUUGUUCAACUCACGAUCAGUCCCACAAGUACUUGAAAUAAGUUUUACGAAAAUGUUGUUUUAUAAGAUUUGUACGAUACGUAUGGUAUUUAAUAGGUAAUUCUAAGACAUUACAUUCAUCUUUUUAGUUUAAUAAAUCUAGGUAAUCGUAAAACUUGGUGUAACUAAAUUUCUUAUUGAAAAGAUUUUUCCUUAAGUUUAUGAUUAUAUAUCGUAACAUUUUAUAGUAUAUUCUCCACAAAUCUAUUAUAUAUUAUUAGCAUAGCAUUAUAUAUUAUUAGCUAGAUAAUAAUUACAAUACGUUUUAACGAUAAAAUUAGUUAACAAAUGUAAUUAGCAAUAAUUUUUACAAAUUACUGUAGUGAUUUUCUUUCUUAAGAAUUAUUCCUAUAAAACAGAUCAAUUUACGUACACAUGAUUGCUAUCGCACGUAACAAUCAGAUAUUGGAUAUGUAUUAAUUAGAAAUCAAUCUAGCGAUCAAUAAAGAAAUUCUUAUCAUCAAACUACAACUACCUACAACUUCCGUCUACGAUAUUGCUCGAUAGGAAAAACAGCCACUUGAAGUACAUUGCGUCAUGCGAUCUGUGAAUCUCUCUCGACGGAAGAACUUCGAAAAAGGUUUUCGAGAAUUUAGGCUAGGACGAUCGAAAGUUUGAACAAAUAAUUUAUCAUUCUGCAGUUUCUCUGCUCGAUAAGCAUGCAUGGUGUCGAUGAUAUUUGGUUGAUCGAAUAAACAGCGAGGCCGUUGACUCUUCAUCGGCCAUACUUUUCUCCGAUCUAAUCUUCAAUCUUCGAUCGAAACAGCACAAUCUAUCCAGCCAACAUAGGAAACUUACGGGCCGGCUACAAUCUACAAUGUCACGAGCAAAGGUCUAUCGAGCGAGUCCCAACCGUCGAUAACGGCAACUAACAACAGGCUAAUCUAUCAAGGACGCUCGACAGUGAAAAUUUGGCCUUGAAAAGGCAAUACCGUUGACUGGAAACCUGACGGGUUUAUUAUAUCCAUAAUGGAGUAUCGUUAGCGGAAUACGUGUACUACUUACGUCCAUUCUUGUAGUAAUAGACGUUAAGACUUUAAACGCUGUUUGUGAAUAUUUAAAGAUAUUAGAAAUAGAACCAUUAAAUUUCAAUUACUGUCUUUUUAAAAGGCAAUCUUUGUUAGGAAUCACAGAAGAAUUAGCUAUUGCGAAGUAAUAAAGCAUUGAUCAAGAGAUUUAAAAGUAUGGAAAUCAUUUUUCGAGAGUUUCCAUUCUUUUGCUUUAAUUGGCAUUUAGUAGAGCUGCUUUGAUGAAUUUUUAAUGGAAUUUGAUAAACCUAACAAAGAUACGAACAAAGGUAUGUAUUUAUGGAUUUAGUUUGAACUGUAAGAAGUUCGAAGUUUACAAGUAUAAUGUUGUAUUAAGUGAUAUUAUCGAUGGUCAAAAUUAUUGGACUGUAAUCAAGUAAAAGUUGAUUACGUCGAUUCCUAAGCUAAAAUUAUAAGAUAAGAUUUAGGGGAAUCAUUAGAUUAUUUGGGAUGAUUACUAGUUGACGUAUUAUAUCGAUCAGUUUUAAUAGUUUUACGCACUAAGCUAAUUCUUCUUCUAGAAAAUGUAUCAUGUUUCAAUAAACAAAAUUUCAGAUAUCCGAAUAAAA